AGGCGUCGACCGGCGCACGGGUGAGUAACGCGUAUCCAACCUGCCCACCACUUGGGGAUAACCUUGCGAAAGUAAGACUAAUACCCAAUGACGUCUCUAGAAGACAUCUGAAGGAGAUUAAAGAUUUAUCGGUGAUGGAUGGGGAUGCGUCUGAUUAGCUUGUUGGCGGGGUAACGGCCCACCAAGGCGACGAUCAGUAGGGGUUCUGAGAGGAAGGUCCCCCACAUUGGAACUGAGACACGGUCCAAACUCCUACGGGAGGCAGCAGUGAGGAAUAUUGGUCAAUGGGCGAGAGCCUGAACCAGCCAAGUAGCGUGCAGGAUGACGGCCCUAUGGGUUGUAAACUGCUUUUAUAAGGGAAUAAAGUGAGUCUCGUGAGACUUUUUGCAUGUACCUUAUGAAUAAGGACCGGCUAAUUCCGUGCCAGCAGCCGCGGUAAUACGGAAGGUCCGGGCGUUAUCCGGAUUUAUUGGGUUUAAAGGGAGCGUAGGCCGGAGAUUAAGCGUGUUGUGAAAUGUAGACGCUCAACGUCUGCACUGCAGCGCGAACUGGUUUCCUUGAGUACGCACAAAGUGGGCGGAAUUCGUGGUGUAGCGGUGAAAUGCUUAGAUAUCACGAAGAACUCCGAUUGCGAAGGCAGCUCACUGGAGCGCAACUGACGCUGAAGCUCGAAAGUGCGGGUAUCGAACAGGAUUAGAUACCCUGGUAGUCCGCACGGUAAACGAUGGAUGCCCGCUGUUGGUCUGAACGGGUCAGCGGUCAAGCGAAAGCAUUAAGCAUCCCACCUGGGGAGUA
This 795-nucleotide ribosomal RNA is filed under the name uncultured bacterium. RNAcentral describes it as "bacterial SSU rRNA". It matches the Rfam family "Bacterial small subunit ribosomal RNA", at positions 86 to 882 of the family's 1533-position model. The record is from RNAcentral.